This 917-nucleotide ribosomal RNA is filed under the name Spirochaetaceae bacterium enrichment culture clone B6_53. Its description in RNAcentral is "bacterial SSU rRNA". It matches the Rfam family "Bacterial small subunit ribosomal RNA", at positions 8 to 916 of the family's 1533-position model. Lineage: Bacteria; Pseudomonadati; Spirochaetota; Spirochaetia; Spirochaetales; Spirochaetaceae. The record is from RNAcentral.
AGAGUUUGAUCAUGGCUCAGAACAAACGCUGGCGGCGUGUCUUAAGCAUGCAAGUCGAGCGGCAAGGCGGGGCGACCCGCCCUAGAGCGGCGGACUGGUGAGUAACGCGUGGGUAAUCUACCUUGGGCAUGGGGAUAGCCAUUAGAAAUAGUGGGUAAUACCGAAUACGCUCGCGGGGGGAAGGGUCCUGUGAGGAAAGGGUGCUACGGCACCGGCCUGAGAUGAGCUCGCGUCCCAUUAGCUAGUUGGUGAGGUAAGGGCCCACCAAGGCGAUGAUGGGUAGCCGGCCUGAGAGGGUGUACGGCCACACCGGGACUGAGAUACGGCCCAGACUCCUACGGGAGGCAGCAGCUAAGAAUAUUCCGCAAUGGACGAAAGUCUGACGGAGCGACGCCGCGUGGAUGAAGAAGGCCGAAAGGUUGUAAAGUUCUUUUGCGAGGGAAGAAUAACCGCAGGAGGGAAUGCCUGUGGGAUGACAUGAACUUGCGAAUAAGCCCCGGCCAACUACGUGCCAGCAGCCGCGGUAACACGUAGGGGGCGAGCGUUGUUCGGAAUUACUGGGCGUAAAGGGCAUGUAGGCGGUCUGGUAAGCCUGGCGUGAAAGACCACAGCUUAACUGUGGGGUUGCGUUGGGAACUGCUGGGCUUGAGUGACGGAGAGGGAGCUGGAAUUCCUGGUGUAGGGGUGAAAUCUGUAGAUAUCAGGAAGAACACCGAUGGCGAAGGCAAGCUCCUGGCCGAUGACUGACGCUGAGGUGCGAAAGUGUGGGGAUCAAACAGGAUUAGAUACCCUGCUAGUCCACACGGUAAACGAUGUGCACUAGGUGCUGGGGCGGUAGCCUCGGUGCCGGAGCGAACGUGGUAAGUGCACCGCCUGGGGAGUAUGCUCGCAAGGGUGAAACUUAAAUGAAUUGACGG